This 73-nucleotide transfer RNA is filed under the name Daphnia pulex (common water flea). It matches the Rfam family "tRNA". From Rfam's summary of the family: Transfer RNA (tRNA) molecules are approximately 80 nucleotides in length. Their secondary structure includes four short double-helical elements and three loops (D, anti-codon, and T loops). The record is from Rfam by way of RNAcentral. Lineage: Eukaryota; Metazoa; Arthropoda; Branchiopoda; Diplostraca; Daphniidae.
GCCGAAAUAGCUCAGUUGGGAUAGCGUUUGACUGAACAUCUAAAAGUCCCUAGUUCGAUCCCGGGUUUCGGCA